This 172-nucleotide unclassified non-coding RNA is filed under the name uncultured Hypocreaceae. RNAcentral's name for it is "sequence contains ITS1". The record is from RNAcentral. Lineage: Eukaryota; Fungi; Ascomycota; Sordariomycetes; Hypocreales.
CCGAGUUUACAACUCCCAAACCCUAUGUGAACUUACCAUUCUGUUGCUUCGGCGGGAUCGUCCCGGGUGCGGCUGCAAGGCCAGCCCCGGAACCAGGCGCCCGCCGGAGGACCACAAACUCUUAUGUUUUUUAGCGAUUUAUCUGAGUGGCUAUAAGCAAAAAAAUGAAUCA